RNAcentral lists this long non-coding RNA (802 nucleotides) under Homo sapiens (human). RNAcentral describes it as "HSALNT0262759". The record is from RNAcentral. Lineage: Eukaryota; Metazoa; Chordata; Mammalia; Primates; Hominidae.
CCGCCCCUCAGCCUAGAGAAGCCCGGCGCUUCCCACUUCCAGUGCGCAGGCAGCGCCGCCGGAACCGGGCGUGGCCUCGGCGCAAUGCCCGCUGGGAAGCGUAGUCCCAAGCAGGGACGGAUGCGGCGGCCCUCGGAGCUCAGGUUGCAAGAUACGGUUUGGCCCCGGGCCUAUGCAACGCCCGUCCGUCCUGCCCUCUGCGGGUCGCUCUCACUUGUCCCUGGACCGCAGCCGCCGCAUAAGUGGUGGCCAACGCUGGGCCUGGGUGUGGCCGGAAGCAGAGGCCGCUCUGACUACACACCCACCCCCCAAAGGCUUCUGGGAGUCGCGCAGGCGCAGCGGCAGACCGGGUGAGGCGGGGCUUGCGGCGAGGGGUGGGACCGCAGGGCCGGAGUAAAAGGGUGCUUGGCUGUGACAGGUCUCCUGGCCUCAGUGAUGGAAUUAAGAUGACUUCUAUCUCUGAAUCCAAGGGUGACUGAAAGCCGCAAGCUGCAGAAAGGACAAGAGGCAUCACCUAUGUGGAUAAAGACAGCAUCCUGAGUUGAUGGAGAAAUGGCAUAGAAGGAACCAGGUCCUUUGAUGACAUCAUGGAGCAAAGCUGUCUUCUUGCCUUGACCUGCUACCUACCUACAUGGGAAGCUGUUACUUGAGAAGGCAAUAAAAUCUAUCUUCUUUAUUGACAGAGUUGACAAUACCUUUUUUAUCUUAUUGUAGCAGUCACUUAUCCUCAAAUGACUGCUAUAUCCUAUUUUCCUAUUAUAUGGGGCUAUAUGCGUCCUUGUUCAUAUUUAGCAGAGAAGCA